UUUUUUUUUUUUUUUUUUUUUUUUAAGGCCAUAUCCGUGGCAUAUGGACAUUCCCCAGGGUAGUGGUUGAACUGGAGCUGGAGCUUCUGGCCUACACCACAGCCACAGCAACAUGGGAUCGGAGCUGCGUCUGUGACCUACACCACAGCUCACGGCAAUGCUAGAUCCCUAACCCACUGAGCGAGGCCAGGGAUCGAACCUGCCUCCUCACUGACACUAGCCAGAUUGGUUUCUGCUGCACCACAGUAGGAACUUCAGGAAUAUCUUUAUAAUUAAGCUUGUUACUGACUUUAAAAUAAUUUUUAAAAAAUUUCUAAAUUGCAAUUAAAAUAACCAAUUUUGUCUUUCUGAUGUAUAAGGAAGUGGGAGAUAAUGAGAAUGCAAUUUUCUCACCACCUUGACUUGUUCUUUAUAAAACCUGGCUUGGGUUGGUUAGAGCUCUGUGCUUGGUCCUCUUCCUGAGCCAUUACCUUAGGCCUCGACAGUUUAAAGCAGAAAUCCUGCACGGAGAUUAAUGAAGACCUGUGUUAUACCGCCUUCAAAGCAUCUGCCUGUUCUCAAAAAGUCAUGCACUGGCUCUCAUACUAAUUAGAGCAGAACAAAAUGGGUGUCUUUCCUUUUUGGUAGAAAAUGAAAAACCAAGAAACUGUUCCCCCCUUUUGAUGUAACCUGAUACCACCAUGCAUGUGAACCAUCUCUCGUAUUGAAAUGAAGGAUAAAGAAAACACCAAGGUGCUAAUUGAAUUCAUAUCUCCUCCUCUCCCAGAAGCCAGAAAAACAGAACAGAGCAGUUUCAGUUUCAGAAUCCAGAUAACCCAAAUGGACCCCUUCUCAUCUUAAAAGCCUUUUGAAGCAUCUGAAAUUGUUGCCAAUCAGAUCUGAUGCUUAAUAUUGCUGUGUACAAACUGUUUCUAUGGAGGAAAUUCCCAAAAAAGGAAGCAAGAAUAUUAUUUUAGCAAAUAAUCUGUUUAUCACAUCUUAUGAUAUAAAAUUGGUGAGGGCUUAAGAACUGCCAGAAGCACUCAUAUCAAGUCAAAAUAAAUGAACAAAGAUGAAUUUCUUGGAUGAAGACUGGUAUGACACAUCACUGCAAGGUUUUUGAGCCAUUAAGAAUGUUUACAUGUUUUAGUUUUCAAAAUUUUACUUAAUAAUUGUAUAAAACCAUAACGCUUAAAUAACUCUUCAACAGCAGCUACUUGGUAAGUACUAUUUCAUAUUAGACACUAUUCUUGACACUUUGUAAGUGCAAGCCAUUAUUAUUCUGUCUUACACAUGGAGAAAAAGGCUGAGAGAGGCAAAGUCAUUUGUCAUUUGGUGACAUUACUGGGAUUUGAAUCCAGGUCUAACUAAUCCUGACACCUAUGCUUUAAAUUAUAAAAGCAUUUAAGAUUAUGCAUUUGACAAUAAGCACAGCUUUGACCACAUCCCAUAAAUUGACUGUUCUUGUUAUUUUCUAAGUUUUUUAUUACAGUUUUCAUUUCUUUUUCAAACACGUCUCUUGAUGCCAUAUUUUUUUAUAAUAUAUGGCUAGAAGUUGUUAUACCAUAAAAUUAUUAUUUUUUUGUUGUUGUUCAUCAUAUCUCUCUUAACUAUUUCCUUCAACUUCUGAAUUCUGCCUAUCAAAAAUCUACUCUCCCUAGCUGCAGGUUCAAUCCCUGGCCUUGCUCUGUGGGUUAAGGAUCUGGCAUUGCUGCAAACUGAUGUAGCUCACAGAUGCGGCUCGGAUCUGGUGUUGCUGUGGCUGUGGCUGUGGCCAGCAGCUAUACCUCUGAUUGGACCCCUAGCCUGGGAACUUCCUAUGCCACACCUGUGUGCCCCCACCUCCAAAAAUGAGAGAGAGAGAUAGAGAGAGAGAGAGAUAAUUGAAAGAUGUGAGGUUUAAAAAGACUAAGUAGUGAAGAAAACAGUUGUGUUUGUGUGGGUAAAGAAAUGUGCGAGGUAAACGGUCUUAGAGGAAGUAAUGUGGCAAAAUUUUAAGAGUUCCCGGGAUUCUACCAGCUUUUCAUAACUGUUUAUACAAACACCAAUGCAUUUAUUUAUUCAUGUGUUUACCUGUGAAAAGCAAUGACUAUCACAUCUAAUAACUCUGAUAGGAAACCCUCAAAUGAGCAACUGAUUAAAAAAAGUGAAUAAUAUUUACCUCCAUGGCAGCGAGACGAACACCAUUGCUGAACUGUACUUUUCUAUGUAUACAUAUUUUUUUUUGCAGUUGUCUAUGCAUUUUUCUGUCUCUUUACUUCCCUAGUGAGCAACUAAGGGAAAGCUACUGUGUUUACCUAUCUUAGUAUCCCCUGUGCCUAGUACAAUGCCUAACACAGAACUGACACAUGGUACAUUUUCACUGAAUGAAUAUAGGUAUUGCCUGGACACCCCUACUGAACACUGACUAAAUUGGACCCCAAGAACUAGUAUUGGCCCAGGUCCAGCACAAGUUUUCUGAGCCCUUUUGAAUACCAAGUGUUAAGCUGCCAGGUUCCCCCUACCUGGAGACGGGUUAAUUUCCCUAGCUCUGGGCUGACCCACGUCUGGGUUCUACCUCUUCUCCAUCAGUAUCUUAGCAAGCCCACGUACAAGAAUGCAUGAAUUACGAUACUAACUGUCCAAUUAAUCUGAAGACAUCCUGGAUGAAGGGAUGCUUGAGCGUUGAGGAGAGUGAGUGAGAAGCAUGAAGCAAAAACUGGAGAGGUAGGCAGGGGACAGUCAAUUAAACAGAGAACUUGAAAAUCCCCUUAAAUUUGCCAGUGCGGUUGGAGGUCAUUGGCAAAUCUUUGCUAUAUAAUUUAGGAGAUGACACGGGGAACUCUACUCAGUAUUCUGUAACAACAUAUGGGAAAAGAAUCUGAAAAGGGAUAUAUGAACAUGCAUAACUGAAUCACUUUGCUGUAUGCUUGAAACAUAACAUUGUAAAAACAAAAAUUAUAUGAACAAAAUUUAGGAGAUAAAAUGGAGACAGAGUGCACACAAACUUGCGAAAAAACUUUUAGUUCCAAGGAAAAGAGAAAUAGGAUGGUAGCUAGUGGGACAAUUAGGAUCAAGAAAGACUUGGGGGCGGGGGGUUGGCUUUUCUUUGAACUGCCUGGUAACCACACAACAGCAAAAAUCUGGAACCAAGGGAAGACAGAACCCCUCACCCUCAGAGCUCAUACUGAAACAAGGUCAUAAUAAUUUAAAAAGUGAUCUCAAGUCACCCAUGACAUAACCUUCAAAGAUUACAAGAAAUCAGGGGGAGAAGCAAAGGCCUCAGAGAAUGUGAGUAUGCAGCUGAAUGUCAUUCUGACAGCUUCUUUCUUGGAGGUACAUUUACGAUUAUUUGAGUUGUCAUUUUCUCUAGGAAGACUUAACUUUAAUUAUACAAAUGUUGAAUAUUUUUCAAGAUAAAAAUGGUAAAGAAUUUGCUUUGAAGUCGUUAGCCUUCAAACACUAUUAUGUGAAAUCCUCGCUGAAGAAACAGUGAGGAAUAUGGAAAUAAGUGCAAUCUGGCCUCGUAAAUGAGGAACUGUGAAUGUUAAUGGUCCCGUUUUACCAUGAAUCUUUUAAAGGGCCAAUGGAGAGGCUUUAUUAUUUGAAAUAUCACGGAUCUGGGGGCUCCCUAAGGGAAAUAGUGAUAGAUACUGGUAAAAUGCCUAUAAAGACAGCAAGGCAAAAAAUAAGCCAAAAGUUUGAACUGGCCAUUUAAAACGCUGCCUAACCUUUCAUUUAAUUGUCUUUUUUGCAGCAAACCAGAUGUAAGGUUUGAACGCAAAAUGUGGUGGUUAUCUCUGAAACAUGCUUCAGAAAAAUCUGCUCUAAGGGGUUGAAAGUACAAUUGCUUUGCUCUCAGCUUGAGUGCAACCAAGUGGGGAUAAACUGAAUUUUGGUAUCAGGUUGUAGCAGUGUGCGUCUCCUGCAGGGGUUGGGGUAGAGGGUGGAGGGGAAUCCAAAUAGCUGCAGCUAUGAUGGCCAGUCUGGAAUAGUGGAAAAAAGCAAGACAUUAUUUAAAUGCCGGUUUUCCCCUUUUGUAGCUGUGUGAUCCUGCAGAAGUUACCAAACCUUCCUGAGCUUCAUCUCCCUCAUCUGAAAAAUGGUUAUACUAAUGUCUAAUUUAGAGACCUAUAGUUAGGACUAGCAGAUGACAUCAUUCAUUCAUUCAUUCAUUUAAUAAGCACUUAUUAAAACCUAUGUGCCAGGCUCCAUUCUUGGCUCUGGGAAUAGAGCAGUGAGCAAAACAGACUGGCAUUUUAGUGCAGGACGACAGGCAGCACAGAAGAUAAAGAAGUCAAUUAAAUCACGUGUGAGGUGAGAAGGAGAAAGGAAAGGAAGUGUGGCCAGUCGAACUGCUCACAUGUGUUGGCAACAUUAUCUCUUACCCCACAGGCUCUUAUUACAAUGUGACUUUGACAUUUCUCCAAUAUAGAAAUGGGUUCUUUGUUUCCUCCCCAUGAAACUGAAUGGAGUUUUUUGAAGUUUCAACCAACAGAAUAUGUGGCAGUGAUGUUACAUGAAUUCCAAGGCUAGAUCCUGUGAGACAAUGCAGCUCCCACCUUACUUGCUAGAAAGCUAAUUUACAAAGACUCAGCUACCAUAUAAACAGCCCGCUGCUCUGAGAUCACCAUACUUUGAGGCUGCUCAAACUAGCCCACAUGAAGAGACCGCAUGAGGGGCUCCAGACUAUAUGGAAAGAAACAGAGAGAUGCAGAUGGCCCCAGAUACUUAAACCUCGCUUCACUCCAGUUCUAGCCACCAUCUGACUGCAACCAUAUAAGACAACCAGAAACCAGAACCUCUCAGCUGAGAGUUUCCAGAAUUACUGAUCUUCAGAAACUAUGAGAAUAAAAUGUCUGCUGACAUUUUAACUCACUAAAUUUGGGGGGAGAUAAUUUUAGAUAACUCACUACAUUUGUUACAUGGCAAAAGAUAACUGGAGUGGCAGAUAAGGGAAUAGAGAAUAAUUUUAUGCAGGGGAGAGAGAGAAGACUUGGCUGAGAAGUUUGAUUAAUGAAUUGGGGAGCAGGAGAAUGAAUAAGAUACCUGGGGGGGAAAUGUCCUAGGCCAAGAGAGGUCCUGGUGUCUUUAGGGAAGAGCAGGGAGGCCCAAAGGUGACUGGAGCAAGAAAGGGAGAGAGCUAGAAACAGCAACUGAGGUCAAAGACCAGCUAGUCUAGGGUCUCGCAGGCCAUGGUAAAGACCAGUUUUCACGCUGAGUUGAGAAGCUACUGGAUGGUUUUGAGCAAUGACAGGAUGUGACUAUGUUUU
RNAcentral lists this long non-coding RNA (5231 nucleotides) under Sus scrofa (pig). RNAcentral describes it as "lncRNA (ENSSSCG00035053553.1)". Lineage: Eukaryota; Metazoa; Chordata; Mammalia; Artiodactyla; Suidae. The record is from RNAcentral.